CCUACGGGGCGCACCAGUGGGGAAUAUUGCACAAUGGGCGCAAGCCUGAUGCAGCCAUGCCGCGUGUAUGAAGAAGGCCUUCGGGUUGUAAAGUACUUUCAGCGGGGAGGAAGGUGUUGUGGUUAAUAACCACAGCAAUUGACGUUACUCGCAGAAGAAGCACCGGCUAACUCCGUGCCAGCAGCCGCGGUAAUACGGAGGGUGCAAGCGUUAAUCGGAAUUACUGGGCGUAAAGCGCACGCAGGCGGUCUGUCAAGUCGGAUGUGAAAUCCCCGGGCUCAACCUGGGAACUGCAUUCGAAACUGGCAGGCUAGAGUCUUGUAGAGGGGGGUAGAAUUCCAGGUGUAGCGGUGAAAUGCGUAGAGAUCUGGAGGAGUACCGGUGGCGAAGGCGGCCCCCUGGACAAAGACUGACGCUCAGGUGCGAAAGCGUGGGGAGCAAACAGGAUUAGAUACCCGCGUAGUC
This 465-nucleotide ribosomal RNA is filed under the name uncultured bacterium. RNAcentral's name for it is "bacterial SSU rRNA". It matches the Rfam family "Bacterial small subunit ribosomal RNA", at positions 338 to 795 of the family's 1533-position model. The record is from RNAcentral.